CUUGGUCAUUUAGAGGAAGUAAAAGUCGUAACAAGGUUUCCGUAGGUGAACCUGCGGAAGGAUCAUUAUCGAAAUUAUUGGUGAGGGUUGUAGCUGGCCUUUCGAGGCAUGUGCACGCUCGAGCCCUUAAUCCACUUUACACCUGUGCACUUAAUGUAGGUCGCCCUUAAAAAAGGUGACCUAUGUCUUAUCAUCAACCCAUCGUAUGUCUCAUAGAAUGUAAUCGAUAUCCUCGCCCUAAAAAAGCGUUGAUAAACUUAUACAACUUUCAACAACGGAUCUCUUGGCUCUCGCAUCGAUGAAGAACGCAGCGAAAUGCGAUAAGUAAUGUGAAUUGCAGAUUUUCAGUGAAUCAUCGAAUCUUUGAACGCACCUUGCGCUCCUUGGUAUUCCGAGGAGCAUGCCUGUUUGAGUGUCAUUAAAUUCUCAAACUCCGAUCGAUUUGUUUCGACUUCGGGGCUUGGAUUUGGAGCGUGCUGGCGUCGGUCGGCUCCUCUUAAAUGCAUCAGCGGAAUCUAACGUUCCGGACGUCAGUGUGAUAAUCACGUUGCGCUGUCUUUCGGUCCGAAAAGCCCGCUCACAAUGGUCUUCGGACAACUUCAUAUCAAAUUUGACCUCAAAUCAGGUAGGACUACCCGCUGAACUUAAGCAUAUCAAUAAGCGGAGNA
RNAcentral lists this ribosomal RNA (668 nucleotides) under uncultured fungus. RNAcentral describes it as "eukaryotic LSU rRNA". The stretch from base 264 to 418 matches the Rfam family "5.8S ribosomal RNA". Lineage: Eukaryota; Fungi. The record is from RNAcentral.